UGGGGAAUAUUGGACAAUGGGCGAAAGCCUGAUCCAGCAAUGCCGCGUGAGUGAUGAAGGCCUUAGGGUUGUAAAGCUCUUUUACCCGGGAUGAUAAUGACAGUACCGGGAGAAUAAGCUCCGGCUAACUCCGUGCCAGCAGCCGCGGUAAUACGGAGGGAGCUAGCGUUGUUCGGAAUUACUGGGCGUAAAGCGUACGUAGGCGGUUACUCAAGUCAGAGGUGAAAGCCCGGAGCUCAACUCCGGAAUUGCCUUUAAGACUGCAUCGCUUGAAUCCGGGAGAGGUGAGUGGAAUUCCGAGUGUAGAGGUGAAAUUCGUAGAUAUUCGGAAGAACACCAGUGGCGAAGGCGGCUCACUGGACCGGUAUUGACGCUGAGGUGCGAAAGCGUGGGGAGCAAA
This 400-nucleotide ribosomal RNA is filed under the name uncultured bacterium. RNAcentral's name for it is "bacterial SSU rRNA". It matches the Rfam family "Bacterial small subunit ribosomal RNA", at positions 355 to 772 of the family's 1533-position model. The record is from RNAcentral.